CAGAAUGUGUCUGACCAAAAACCUCUAAAGACUCACUACAGCCAAGAUAAAGACACAACUCAGCUGCACCAAAUCCACUAAUCACUGCACACAUUAGCACCAUGUGCUAACUGUGGCUAAAGAACCACAUUUACCAAGACAGCUAUCCAGUACAAAGCCCUAAAACACACCAAGAAACACAUUAAAGACGAUUUUACUGCUGGAAGCUGCAAGCCAACGCCUAAAGAACAAACUAAAGCAAUGGCGCCAAACCCAGUUCAGUUGGUGAAGAGAAGCAGAGGAAAUGUUUGUCUGCAGCUAAACAAAGCAGGAAGACACUGAGCUGCUCAGGUGUUCCUGAUAACACCAAGCAGCCACCUGGACAGCCAAUAGGAACACAGCUUACUGGAAGUCCAGAGGGCUGGGUUAGUGAAGGAAAUUUAGUUUAAAGUUGAAGCAGAAAGUUAACAAAGAAAGUUGAAAACCACCUUCUGAUACCUGAAAUCUCUGAGUUUUCACACAAAGAACACCUGAACAUGUCAAACUGGUUCCAUAGUAGAACCAUCAUUGUAAAAACAUCAUAGUAUGGUGUGUUGCUCAAAAAACAUUAGGACCCGGCUGUCAGGGGACAAACAUGUAAGAAACAUGAGACCAGAGAGAACCCAACCAGUAGGUCACAGUUUAUCAUCCCCCAGUCAUCUCCUGAAGUCCAUAUGAUCCACCAACCACUGGAACACAUCUCCAAAGUUCUGCUGGUCCAGCUCAGCUUCCCCUCAGAAGAAGUGGCGCCACCUGCCAGAUGAAGGAAACUUUUUAGAGGCAGCUGGCAUCGUGAUUGGACUGUACUUUGGUCUGUUCCAAUCCAGCUUCAGCUCCAGAGACGGCAGGCGGGACGAGUCAACGGAGGCCGGGUGGACGAAGGCAUGCAGCUGAGUACAAUCCAGAAAACAACAGAGGAGGAGGAAACAAACAUAGUAGCAU
Amphiprion ocellaris (clown anemonefish) is the source of this 960-nucleotide long non-coding RNA. The record is from Ensembl. Lineage: Eukaryota; Metazoa; Chordata; Actinopteri; Pomacentridae.